Molecule: non-coding RNA, 318 nt
Filed under: Gossypium hirsutum (cotton)
Lineage: Eukaryota; Viridiplantae; Streptophyta; Magnoliopsida; Malvales; Malvaceae
Description: Bacterial large subunit ribosomal RNA
Rfam family: Bacterial large subunit ribosomal RNA
Source: Rfam by way of RNAcentral
UCUUUAUGUAAUUUGACAAAAUAGCAGCGUAACUUCGAGAGCAAGAGUACCUCCUCAUAAAGGGGUCGCAGUGACCAGGCUCGGGUGAUUGUUUUCUACAAACACAGAUCUCUGUAAAGUCGUAAGACCAUGUAUGGGGGCUGCGUCUGCCUAAUGUUGGAAGGUCAAGGAUGUUGGUGACUUGAUGACAGGGGAGUCGACGAUCGGAGCCCCGUGAACAUUGGUUGUAACUAUAACAAUUCUAAAGUAGCGAAAUUCCUUGUCGGGUAAAUUUUGACCUGCACAAAAAUCGUAACGAUCUGAGCACUGUCUCGGAGA